AGAGUUUGAUCAUGGCUCAGAUUGAACGCUGGCGGCAGGCCUAACACAUGCAAGUCGAGCGGAUGAAGGGAGCUUGCUCCUGGAUUCAGCGGCGGACGGGUGAGUAAUGCCUAGGAAUCUGCCUGGUAGUGGGGGAUAACGUCCGGAAACGGGCGCUAAUACCGCAUACGUCCUGAGGGAGAAAGUGGGGGAUCUUCGGACCUCACGCUAUCAGAUGAGCCUAGGUCGGAUUAGCUAGUUGGUGGGGUAAAGGCCUACCAAGGCGACGAUCCGUAACUGGUCUGAGAGGAUGAUCAGUCACACUGGAACUGAGACACGGUCCAGACUCCUACGGGAGGCAGCAGUGGGGAAUAUUGGACAAUGGGCGAAAGCCUGAUCCAGCCAUGCCGCGUGUGUGAAGAAGGUCUUCGGAUUGUAAAGCACUUUAAGUUGGGAGGAAGGGCAGUAAGUUAAUACCUUGCUGUUUUGACGUUACCAACAGAAUAAGCACCGGCUAACUUCGUGCCAGCAGCCGCGGUAAUACGAAGGGUGCAAGCGUUAAUCGGAAUUACUGGGCGUAAAGCGCGCGUAGGUGGUUCAGCAAGUUGGAUGUGAAAUCCCCGGGCUCAACCUGGGAACUGCAUCCAAAACUACUGAGCUAGAGUACGGUAGAGGGUGGUGGAAUUUCCUGUGUAGCGGUGAAAUGCGUAGAUAUAGGAAGGAACACCAGUGGCGAAGGCGACCACCUGGACUGAUACUGACACUGAGGUGCGAAAGCGUGGGAGCAAACAGGAUUAGAUACCCUGGUAGUCCACGCCGUAAACGAUGUCGACUAGCCGUUGGGAUCCUUGAGAUCUUAGUGGCGCAGCUAACGCGAUAAGUCGACCGCCUGGGGAGUACGGCCGCAAGGUUAAAACUCAAAUGAAUUGACGGGGGCCCGCACAAGCGGUGGAGCAUGUGGUUUAAUUCGAAGCAACGCGAAGAACCUUACCUGGCCUUGACAUGCUGAGAACUUUCCAGAGAUGGAUUGGUGCCUUCGGGAACUCAGACACAGGUGCUGCAUGGCUGUCGUCAGCUCGUGUCGUGAGAUGUUGGGUUAAGUCCCGUAACGAGCGCAACCCUUGUCCUUAGUUACCAGCACCUCGGGUGGGCACUCUAAGGAGACUGCCGGUGACAAACCGGAGGAAGGUGGGGAUGACGUCAAGUCAUCAUGGCCCUUACGGCCAGGGCUACACACGUGCUACAAUGGUCGGUACAAAGGGUUGCCAAGCCGCGAGGUGGAGCUAAUCCCAUAAAACCGAUCGUAGUCCGGAUCGCAGUCUGCAACUCGACUGCGUGAAGUCGGAAUCGCUAGUAAUCGUGAUCAGAAUGUCACGGUGAAUACGUUCCCGGGCCUUGUACACACCGCCCGUCACACCAUGGGAGUGGGUUGCUCCAGAAGUAGCUAGUCUAACCGCAAGGGGGACGGUUACCACGGAGUGAUUCAUGACUGGGGUGAAGUCGUAACAAGGUAGCCGUAGGGGAACCUGCGGCUGGAUCACCU
Molecule: ribosomal RNA, 1522 nt
Filed under: Pseudomonas aeruginosa
Lineage: Bacteria; Pseudomonadati; Pseudomonadota; Gammaproteobacteria; Pseudomonadales; Pseudomonadaceae
Description: 16S ribosomal RNA
Rfam family: Bacterial small subunit ribosomal RNA
Source: RNAcentral